UUAAGCGACUAAGCGUACACGGUGGAUGCCCUGGCAGUCAGAGGCGAUGAAGGACGUGCUAAUCUGCGAUAAGCGUCGGUAAGGUGAUAUGAACCGUUAUAACCGGCGAUUUCCGAAUGGGGAAACCCAGUGUGUUUCGACACACUAUCAUUAACUGAAUCCAUAGGUUAAUGAGGCGAACCGGGGGAACUGAAACAUCUAAGUACCCCGAGGAAAAGAAAUCAACCGAGAUUCCCCCAGUAGCGGCGAGCGAACGGGGAGCAGCCCAGAGCCUGAAUCAGUGUGUGUGUUAGUGGAAGCGUCUGGAAAGGCGCGCGAUACAGGGUGACAGCCCCGUACACAAAAAUGCACAUGCUGUGAGCUCGAUGAGUAGGGCGGGACACGUGGUAUCCUGUCUGAAUAUGGGGGGACCAUCCUCCAAGGCUAAAUACUCCUGACUGACCGAUAGUGAACCAGUACCGUGAGGGAAAGGCGAAAAGAACCCCGGCGAGGGGAGUGAAAAAGAACCUGAAACCGUGUACGUACAAGCAGUGGGAGCCUCUUUUAUGGGGUGACUGCGUACCUUUUGUAUAAUGGGUCAGCGACUUAUAUUCUGUAGCAAGGUUAACCGAAUAGGGGAGCCGAAGGGAAACCGAGUCUUAACUGGGCGUUAAGUUGCAGGGUAUAGACCCGAAACCCGGUGAUCUAGCCAUGGGCAGGUUGAAGGUUGGGUAACACUAACUGGAGGACCGAACCGACUAAUGUUGAAAAAUUAGCGGAUGACUUGUGGCUGGGGGUGAAAGGCCAAUCAAACCGGGAGAUAGCUGGUUCUCCCCGAAAGCUAUUUAGGUAGCGCCUCGUGAAUUCAUCUCCGGGGGUAGAGCACUGUUUCGGCAAGGGGGUCAUCCCGACUUACCAACCCGAUGCAAACUGCGAAUACCGGAGAAUGUUAUCACGGGAGACACACGGCGGGUGCUAACGUCCGUCGUGAAGAGGGAAACAACCCAGACCGCCAGCUAAGGUCCCAAAGUCAUGGUUAAGUGGGAAACGAUGUGGGAAGGCCCAGACAGCCAGGAUGUUGGCUUAGAAGCAGCCAUCAUUUAAAGAAAGCGUAAUAGCUCACUGGUCGAGUCGGCCUGCGCGGAAGAUGUAACGGGGCUAAACCAUGCACCGAAGCUGCGGCAGCGACGCUUAUGCGUUGUUGGGUAGGGGAGCGUUCUGUAAGCCUGCGAAGGUGUGCUGUGAGGCAUGCUGGAGGUAUCAGAAGUGCGAAUGCUGACAUAAGUAACGAUAAAGCGGGUGAAAAGCCCGCUCGCCGGAAGACCAAGGGUUCCUGUCCAACGUUAAUCGGGGCAGGGUGAGUCGACCCCUAAGGCGAGGCCGAAAGGCGUAGUCGAUGGGAAACAGGUUAAUAUUCCUGUACUUGGUGUUACUGCGAAGGGGGGACGGAGAAGGCUAUGUUGGCCGGGCGACGGUUGUCCCGGUUUAAGCGUGUAGGCUGGUUUUCCAGGCAAAUCCGGAAAAUCAAGGCUGAGGCGUGAUGACGAGGCACUACGGUGCUGAAGCAACAAAUGCCCUGCUUCCAGGAAAAGCCUCUAAGCAUCAGGUAACAUCAAAUCGUACCCCAAACCGACACAGGUGGUCAGGUAGAGAAUACCAAGGCGCUUGAGAGAACUCGGGUGAAGGAACUAGGCAAAAUGGUGCCGUAACUUCGGGAGAAGGCACGCUGAUAUGUAGGUGAAGUCCCUCGCGGAUGGAGCUGAAAUCAGUCGAAGAUACCAGCUGGCUGCAACUGUUUAUUAAAAACACAGCACUGUGCAAACACGAAAGUGGACGUAUACGGUGUGACGCCUGCCCGGUGCCGGAAGGUUAAUUGAUGGGGUUAGCGCAAGCGAAGCUCUUGAUCGAAGCCCCGGUAAACGGCGGCCGUAACUAUAACGGUCCUAAGGUAGCGAAAUUCCUUGUCGGGUAAGUUCCGACCUGCACGAAUGGCGUAAUGAUGGCCAGGCUGUCUCCACCCGAGACUCAGUGAAAUUGAACUCGCUGUGAAGAUGCAGUGUACCCGCGGCAAGACGGAAAGACCCCGUGAACCUUUACUAUAGCUUGACACUGAACAUUGAGCCUUGAUGUGUAGGAUAGGUGGGAGGCUUUGAAGUGUGGACGCCAGUCUGCAUGGAGCCGACCUUGAAAUACCACCCUUUAAUGUUUGAUGUUCUAACGUGGACCCGUAAUCCGGGUUGCGGACAGUGUCUGGUGGGUAGUUUGACUGGGGCGGUCUCCUCCUAAAGAGUAACGGAGGAGCACGAAGGUUGGCUAAUCCUGGUCGGACAUCAGGAGGUUAGUGCAAUGGCAUAAGCCAGCUUGACUGCGAGCGUGACGGCGCGAGCAGGUGCGAAAGCAGGUCAUAGUGAUCCGGUGGUUCUGAAUGGAAGGGCCAUCGCUCAACGGAUAAAAGGUACUCCGGGGAUAACAGGCUGAUACCGCCCAAGAGUUCAUAUCGACGGCGGUGUUUGGCACCUCGAUGUCGGCUCAUCACAUCCUGGGGCUGAAGUAGGUCCCAAGGGUAUGGCUGUUCGCCAUUUAAAGUGGUACGCGAGCUGGGUUUAGAACGUCGUGAGACAGUUCGGUCCCUAUCUGCCGUGGGCGCUGGAGAACUGAGGGGGGCUGCUCCUAGUACGAGAGGACCGGAGUGGACGCAUCACUGGUGUUCGGGUUGUCAUGCCAAUGGCACUGCCCGGUAGCUAAAUGCGGAAGAGAUAAGUGCUGAAAGCAUCUAAGCACGAAACUUGCCCCGAGAUGAGUUCUCCCUGACUCCUUGAGAGUCCUGAAGGAACGUUGAAGACGACGACGUUGAUAGGCCGGGUGUGUAAGCGCAGCGAUGCGUUGAGCUAACCGGUACUAAUGAACCGUGAGGCUUAACCUU
RNAcentral lists this ribosomal RNA (2902 nucleotides) under Escherichia coli 6-537-08_S3_C1. RNAcentral's name for it is "bacterial LSU rRNA". It matches the Rfam family "Bacterial large subunit ribosomal RNA". The record is from RNAcentral. Lineage: Bacteria; Pseudomonadati; Pseudomonadota; Gammaproteobacteria; Enterobacterales; Enterobacteriaceae.